This 463-nucleotide ribosomal RNA is filed under the name uncultured bacterium. Its description in RNAcentral is "bacterial SSU rRNA". It matches the Rfam family "Bacterial small subunit ribosomal RNA", at positions 339 to 794 of the family's 1533-position model. The record is from RNAcentral.
GUACGGGAGGCAGCAGUGGGGAAUUUUGGACAAUGGGGGCAACCCUGAUCCAGCAAUGCCGCGUGUGUGAAGAAGGCCUUCGGGUUGUAAAGCACUUUUGUCAGGAAAGAAAUCGCUCUGGCUAAUAUCCGGAGUGGAUGACGGUACCUGAAGAAUAAGCACCGGCUAACUACGUGCCAGCAGCCGCGGUAAUACGUAGGGUGCGAGCGUUAAUCGGAAUUACUGGGCGUAAAGCGUGCGCAGGCGGUUGUGCAAGACAGAUGUGAAAUCCCCGGGCUUAACCUGGGAACUGCAUUUGUGACUGCACGGCUAGAGUGUGUCAGAGGGGGGUAGAAUUCCACGUGUAGCAGUGAAAUGCGUAGAUAUGUGGAGGAAUACCGAUGGCGAAGGCAGCCCCCUGGGAUAACACUGACGCUCAUGCACGAAAGCGUGGGGAGCAAACAGGAUUAGAUACCCUGGUAGA